AACGUAGGAGACAACCGUUAUCCGGAGUUACUGGGCGUAAAGGGCGUGUAGGUGGUUUCGUAAGUCUGGCGUGAAAUUUCUCGGCUUAACCGAGGCAGGUCGUCGGAUACUGCGGGACUUGAGGACGGUAGAGGCGUGUGGAAUUCCGGGUGUAGUGGUGAAAUGCGUAGAGAUCCGGAGGAACACCAGUGGCGAAGGCGACACGCUGGGCCGUACCUGACACUGAUGCGCGACAGCAUGGGGAGCAAACAGG
This 253-nucleotide ribosomal RNA is filed under the name uncultured bacterium. RNAcentral's name for it is "partial 16S ribosomal RNA". It matches the Rfam family "Bacterial small subunit ribosomal RNA", at positions 524 to 776 of the family's 1533-position model. The record is from RNAcentral.